RNAcentral lists this ribosomal RNA (500 nucleotides) under uncultured bacterium. RNAcentral's name for it is "partial 16S ribosomal RNA". It matches the Rfam family "Bacterial small subunit ribosomal RNA", at positions 30 to 523 of the family's 1533-position model. The record is from RNAcentral.
AUUGAACGCUGGCGGCAUGCCUUACACAUGCAAGUCGAACGGCAGCACGGGAGCAAUCCUGGUGGCGAGUGGCGAACGGGUGAGUAAAGUAUCGGAACGUGCCCAGUCGUGGGGGAUAACGUAGCGAAAGUUACGCUAAUACCGCAUACGAUCUAUGGAUGAAAGCGGGGGAUCGCAAGACCUCGCGCGAUUGGAGCGGCCGAUAUCAGAUUAGGUAGUUGGUGGGGUAAAGGCUCACCAAGCCGACGAUCUGUAGCUGGUCUGAGAGGACGAACAGCCACACGGGGACUGAGACACGGCCCAGACUCCUACGGGAGGCAGCAGUGGGGAAUUUUGGACAAUGGGCGAAAGCCGGAUCCAGCCAUGCCGCGUGCAGGAUGAAGGCCUUCGGGUUGUAAACUGCUUUUGUACGGAACGAAAAGGUUUGGCCUAAUAAGCUGAGCUCAUGACGGUACCGUAAGAAUAAGCACCGGCUAACUACGUGCCAGCCGCCGCCGUAA